Esox lucius (northern pike) is the source of this 1208-nucleotide long non-coding RNA. RefSeq lists it as uncharacterized. The record is from RefSeq and is a predicted model, not a curated record. NCBI's taxonomy places the organism in Eukaryota, Metazoa, Chordata, Actinopteri, Esociformes, Esocidae. The transcript is spliced from 3 exons.
UUCAGCAUGAGGACAGUUCAUGUACCACGCAGCAACACAAACGUACCCCAUAAUGGAGGGAGGAGAGAGAUGCGCGUUUUCUAGCUGGAAGUACAGUCAUUAUUUUGAGUUUGUGUCAGCUAAGGAUGACAAUAUUAAGGUUCGUUGUGCGCUCUGUGCUGGUUGCAACAAAGUGCUAUCUAGCUACAAAAACACAACGUCAAAUUUGAAGAAACAUUUGGAGUCGCAGCAUGGCACAGUCAAACUUACUGAACAAGUCCCACCAGGUGGUGCGAAACAGAUAGAUGGAGGUCCCCCACCACUCAAACAACAAAAGCUGGACUUCGGUGCAAAACCAGAGUAUGCAGUGAUGGAGAGAAAUCUGAAGGCCACGCUGAAUGAGGUCGACUUUGUGUGAAGUACCGCGUAUAUUUGGAUUGCUAACAACAGAAGUGCAGACUCGUUUUGCCAGUGUGCUGGACGACAACAAUGCCCUUCUCGCAGCUGUCAGUGGUCCAAAAUUCAAACUCCAAUGGCUGAGAUGCAGGUAGGAGGGAGCGAGUAAAAGAGCUUCUGACAACAGAGUGCUGCCUCACAACUGCUCCUGCAGCACAAAGCCCUGCCAGUGUGCCCACCACAUCUGACAGCCAAGGUGAGAUGGACUUUUUCACUUUUGAGGCUGAGGCAGAGCCAGAGGAGACCUACUCUGCAGAAAAUGAAGUCAUGGACUACUUGAGGUCAGCUAAUGAUGACCUUCAGAUUCUGCAUACGUUUUCAAACAUAAAGAACAUUUUCUUGAAGUAUAACACUCCAACCCCAUCAAGUGCUCCUGUGGAGCGGCUUUUCAGUCUGGGAGAUUUGGUGCUCACGCCUCGAAGAAAUAGACUUUCUGACAAGAGGUUUGAGAAGCUUCUGUUAAUGAGGUACAACCACUGGUUUACUCGCCCCACUCCACUGUUUCAUUCAUAAUAUGUGAUUACAACAUAAGAUUAGGCCAAAAUAACAAAAGUAGACAUGAUAUCAGCCUACAUGUGGUGUUAUACACAUGUUUUGUUUUGUAAAACCACUCUUUGCUGCUCUAAUGCUGUGAACAACAGGUUUAAUGUUCAUAAAACAUGUAAUAGUUACAUUUAUAAAGAAUUUUGAUUACAAUAUUAACAGUUAAAUAUGUCAGGUCAAGAAAGACUGUCUUUAUUUUAUAUUUUAGAAAAACAAGUAUUUAUGCUAAG